Long non-coding RNA from Pezoporus flaviventris, 2907 nucleotides. RefSeq lists it as uncharacterized. Lineage: Eukaryota; Metazoa; Chordata; Aves; Psittaciformes; Psittacidae. The record is from RefSeq and is a predicted model, not a curated record. The transcript has 3 exons.
UCUGCUGACCUGGGAGCCUGCAAGACUUUGGGAGGCACCUUACCACAAAGGAGAGAGUUCUCAGGGGACUGAGACUCACAAGCUGCUUCAGCAGCUUCCCCACCUCCUCCAGACCCUUCCCAAAACCUGCCAUCACCUCUCUCUUUUUCAGCUUCUCUUCUUGCUAAAAGAGCUCACCUGAUUGUACCACUGGAGCAGAGGGGUCUCCCGGAAGACAGUUUCCAUCUGGAGAGGAAAAAUGAAGACAUUCUUCAUAGAAGACAAAAGCGAGAAGGCUGCGUAGCUGGAGUUCAAGUCCAAUGCUGUGUCAUUUGUAAGUCCCUUCAUGAAGAGGAUGACGGGCCGGUCCCGGAAUGCCUGGUGAGCCUGUACAACACUGAGGAGUUCCUGCUGGUGAGAGGCUGGAACUUAAGCAUUGCACUGUCUGACAGGUUUAUGAAGCAAGGAAAUUCCCUUCUGAAAUGCCACCCGCUUGCAUCUGAGUAGCCCUCAUUGGUUUUGCAGAGAUCAUAUGCUGGGCUCCAGCAGAGACUAGAUACUUGGAAUGACAACCCAAUGUCCAAGCAACACCUGGAAGUCUUUAAAACCUACUUAAUGAAAGGGAAUGGAAGGAAACAGUUCUGUGUGCUCGGGUAAUUAAUGAGAUACAUUAUCAUGUCACCCAGGCAGAAUACAGAUAAGUCCACAGCACUGCAAACCCUGUGGAAAUUCCCCUGCAAGCGCUAAGCAUGCACUUGAAGCUGUGGCAGCUCCUGAUCCAUUUCUCAGUGCUAGAUCUCAUCAAAUUAAAUAUUAAAGCAAUGACUAUUCCCAUCAGUACAGCUUUCCAUGCCGCACAGCAGAUUCUGUUAUUUUCCAUUGCCACUGCACAAAGUUUCUCAUUACACCCUGGGUGAAGUGGGUGAUAGUGCUGUAGCCACAGGUACCAAUGUGGCUUUGGGUACGUCAUGCCGGUCAAAGCAGCAUGCAGAGAAGGGAAUGCUGCUUUUUAAUUAUUAUUACUUUUCACAUGGUUUUCCCACUUUCUGUCAGCCCCAGCACUCUGCAGAGGAGCCCCUGCUGUGAGAGGCAGCACCUUGUGCCCAGGGCCUCUUUGUAGAUAUCAAAUUUUAACGGAAGGCAGGGAAUGGAGAGCAAAUACAAGCAGCUGGGGAACGACUUGUUCCUAAGCCUGAAGAUAAACCAGCCCCAGUGAUGCUCAGGUGCAGUGUGAAUAGUUGCUGCUGAAUCCAGCAGGAGUGAGAUUAAAAACAACUACAUUGCUAGAACAACAUUUCCUUCUACAGUCCCAUCCUGCCUCUUUCCCAGACACAUGUUUCUCACUUACUCCAGCUAUUUGAAGAUAAAACAGAAAGAAAAAGUUGCCCCCUCAUAGCUCUCUUGCCAAUCUCAGCUUUGCCAAUUUUCAAGCUUGCUUGUUUUCAGCUCUGACCUAAACCUGCUGCUGUUCUGUGCUGUUGCUCCAUUGUAUUCCAGGGACUGGUGCUCCCUCCUUCUUUUCCUUGCAAUUUUAAAUAUCUUGAUGCCACUCUCUUGGCAAUGUUUGCUUGAAGCAGAAAACCCAGACUUUGCUUUGAUUAGAAAUAAGACCAUCAGGACAUUCCUAUUACUGGAUUAAUACUUCUCCUUUGAUGGCCUAAAGACCCGAUGUCUUUAUGAGCACCCUAGCAAAGCUGUGCUAGCAAUAGUCAUUCAAAUUUAAAAUAGUCCAGGAGGCAUUUUAUUUGCAAAUUGUGGGGAGAGAAUGAGUUGACACUCCAACACAUCCCAGCUCUGUGUAUGACAUUGUGAAGAGAAACACGAAUCUUCAUCGUCUCAUUCUGGGAAAUUGUUUUGCUUGGUUGGUUUUCCAAAACCCCUAUGUGGCGGGUUAUGAAUUCUCAUCACAUUUGACCUGGAGGCUGCUGUUAUCAAAAUGUUCACUUCCCCGCUCAAGUUAAAAGGACUGCAGAACCAAAUGUUAAAAAUAAAUCCCAGCCAUUGAAUAGAUUACCCUGCUGAGUGGGUUGCUUUUCUGGAUGCAGCAGACGGCAUGCUGGCUUGAUGGCCCAUCUUGUAAAGAUAUUUCUUUUCUCAGGGCAAUUUCAGUAUUUCAAGUGCAGGAUGAAAACGGGUGGGAGACUACAAGAGAGAUUACUACGAAUGCCAGUGCACUAUAGUACUGUUACUGCCAUGUGAUGAUUUGUCUGAGGUGUUCAUGAGACAAGUGCAGCAGGAAGAUAGGACUGGAUGUUUUUCAGUAAAUGCCACCAAAGGGAGUAAAUCAAUGUGCCAGGGUGCUGGCAGCCCUGCACACCCCGUCCAUAUCACAGCCUGACCCUACAAACGCUGGGGUCCCUGAAGCAGCAGCUUGAGCAUCCCUCAAGAUUCAAAAGAGAGACUCUCAUCCUCCUGUUUAUUCCAAACACUGCAUCUUUCCUUUGAGAACCAGCGGGUUUUGUGUUUGGGUCUGCACCCAUCCAGCUGGGUGAUUGUCCUUCUUUCUUCUGGAAGGGAAUAACUCCAAGGCAGUCCAUGUUUGUAACACACACAGCAUCCCUUGAAUCUACCUGGGCUUAUUUCCAUGUCUCUAUAGAAUCUACUUGAGUAAAUUACAGCUAGAAUCGAGUUAGCGCACGUCUGUGCACUUCAAAGCCAACUUCCUUACAGAUUUAACACCAGGCACAUUUGGAAACCUCUUUCAAAUGGAAAACCUGUCGAAGAAUAUAUCGCAUUCAUUGCAGACUGUAAUUAAACAGCCGUUCCAACCUCCAGCAACUCAUGCAAAUGAAGCGGCUUCUUACUGCACAGCUUCUCACCUGUUUUCUGAUUCUACAACCUGACAUGCUUAGAGAUAAAGCAAAACUCACCUCUUGGCUGCAAAAAGCUGGCAGUGUGUAGUAUAUUGGGAAGUAAAGCCAAGCUGAA